GAUGAACGCUGGCGGCGUGCCUAAUACAUGCAAGUCGAGCGAACGGACGAGAAGCUUGCUUCUCUGAUGUUAGCGGCGGACGGGUGAGUAACACGUGGAUAACCUACCUAUAAGACUGGGAUAACUUCGGGAAACCGGAGCUAAUACCGGAUAAUAUUUUGAACCGCAUGGUUCAAAAGUUAAAGACGGUCUUGCUGUCACUUAUAGAUGGAUCCGCGCUGCAUUAGCUAGUUGGUAAGGUAACGGCUUACCAAGGCAACGAUGCAUAGCCGACCUGAGAGGGUGAUCGGCCACACUGGAACUGAGACACGGUCCAGACUCCUACGGGAGGCAGCAGUAGGGAAUCUUCCGCAAUGGGCGAAAGCCUGACGGAGCAACGCCGCGUGAGUGACGAAGGUCUUCGGAUCGUAAAACUCUGUUAUUAGGGAAGAACAUAUGUGUAAGUAACUGUGCACAUCUUGACGGUACCUAAUCAGAAAGCCACGGCUAACUACGUG
This 497-nucleotide ribosomal RNA is filed under the name uncultured bacterium. RNAcentral describes it as "partial 16S ribosomal RNA". It matches the Rfam family "Bacterial small subunit ribosomal RNA", at positions 28 to 507 of the family's 1533-position model. The record is from RNAcentral.